RNAcentral lists this transfer RNA (71 nucleotides) under Camelus bactrianus (Bactrian camel). It matches the Rfam family "tRNA". Rfam says of the family: Transfer RNA (tRNA) molecules are approximately 80 nucleotides in length. The record is from Rfam by way of RNAcentral. Lineage: Eukaryota; Metazoa; Chordata; Mammalia; Artiodactyla; Camelidae. RNAcentral also lists the same sequence under 1 other name.
GUGGUUAUAGCUCAGUGGUGAGCAUGUGCUUAGCACUUACAGGGUCCUGGGUUCAAUCCCCAGCACCUCCA